Molecule: ribosomal RNA, 500 nt
Filed under: uncultured Glomeromycotina
Lineage: Eukaryota; Fungi; Glomeromycota
Description: partial small subunit ribosomal RNA
Rfam family: Eukaryotic small subunit ribosomal RNA
Source: RNAcentral
CCAAUAGCGUAUAUUAAAGUUGUUGCAGUUAAAAAGCUCGUAGUUGAAUUUCGGGGUUAGUAGAUUGGUCAUGCCUCUGGUAUGCACUGGUCUCACUGAUUCCUCCUUCCUGAUGAACCGUAAUGCCAUUAAUUUGGUGUUGCGGGGAAUUUGGACUGUUACUUUGAAAAAAUUAGAGUGUUUAAAGCAAGCUAACGCUUGAAUACAUUAGCAUGGAAUAAUGAAAUAGGACGUUCGAUCCUAUUUUGUUGGUUUCUAGGAUUGACGUAAUGAUUAAUAGGGAUAGUUGGGGGCAUUAGUAUUCAAUUGUCAGAGGUGAAAUUCUUGGAUUUAUUGAAGACUAACUAAUGCGAAAGCAUUUGCCAAGGAUGUUUUCAUUAAUCAAGAACGAAAGUUAGGGGAUCGAAGACGAUCAGAUACCGUCGUAGUCUUAACCAUAAACUAUGCCAACUAGGGAUCGUAUGAUGUUAAUUUUUUAAUGACUCAUUCGGCGCCUUACG